CUACGGGAUGCACCAGCGGGGAAUAUUGGACAAUGGGGGAAACCCUGAUCCAGCAAUGCCGCGUGUGUGAAGAAGGCCUGCGGGUUGUAAAGCACUUUCGGUUGGGAGGACUGCUUCUAGCACUAAUAUUGUUGGAAGUUGACGUUACCUUCAGAAGAAGCACCGGCUAACUCCGUGCCAGCAGCCGCGGUAAUAGGGAGGGUGCAAGCGUUAAUCGGAAUUACUGGGCGUAAAGCGCGCGUAGGCGGCUAGAUCAGUCGGGUGUGAAAGCCCCGGGCUUAACCUGGGAACUGCAUCCGAUACUGUCUAGCUUGAGUACAGGAGAGGAGAGUGGAAUUCCACAUGUAGCGGUGAAAUGCGUAGAUAUGUGGAGGAACACCAAUGGCGAAGGCAGCUCUCUGGCCUGAUACUGACGCUGAGGUGCGAAAGCGUGGGGAGCAAACAGGAUUAGAUACCCCGGUAGUC
This 465-nucleotide ribosomal RNA is filed under the name uncultured bacterium. Its description in RNAcentral is "partial 16S ribosomal RNA". It matches the Rfam family "Bacterial small subunit ribosomal RNA", at positions 339 to 795 of the family's 1533-position model. The record is from RNAcentral.